GACGACCUCAGUUCGGAUUGAAGGCUGAAAUUCGCCUUCAUGAAGUCGGAAUUGCUAGUAAUGGCAGGUCAGCAUACUGCCGUGAAUACGUUCCCGGGCCUUGUACACACCGCCCGUCACACCAUGAGAGUUGGAGAUACCCGAAGCCUAUGAGCUAACUUUUAGAGGCAGUAGUCGAAGGUAGAAUCAAUGAUUGGGGUGAAGUCGUAACAAGGUAAC
RNAcentral lists this ribosomal RNA (219 nucleotides) under uncultured bacterium. RNAcentral describes it as "partial 16S ribosomal RNA". It matches the Rfam family "Bacterial small subunit ribosomal RNA", at positions 1281 to 1500 of the family's 1533-position model. The record is from RNAcentral.